AUUGAACGCUGGCGGCAGGCCUAACACAUGCAAGUCGAGCGGAUGAAGGGAGCUUGCUCCUGGAUUCAGCGGCGGACGGGUGAGUAAUGCCUAGGAAUCUGCCUGGUAGUGGGGGAUAACGUCCGGAAACGGGCGCUAAUACCGCAUACGUCCUGAGGGAGAAAGUGGGGGAUCUUCGGACCUCACGCUAUCAGAUGAGCCUAGGUCGGAUUAGCUAGUUGGUGGGGUAAAGGCCUACCAAGGCGACGAUCCGUAACUGGUCUGAGAGGAUGAUCAGUCACACUGGAACUGAGACACGGUCCAGACUCCUACGGGAGGCAGCAGUGGGGAAUAUUGGACAAUGGGCGAAAGCCUGAUCCAGCCAUGCCGCGUGUGUGAAGAAGGUCUUCGGAUUGUAAAGCACUUUAAGUUGUGAGGAAGGGCAGUAAGUUAAUACCUGGCUGUUUUGACGUUACCAACAGAAUAAGCACCGGCUAACUUCGUG
RNAcentral lists this ribosomal RNA (484 nucleotides) under uncultured bacterium. RNAcentral's name for it is "partial 16S ribosomal RNA". It matches the Rfam family "Bacterial small subunit ribosomal RNA", at positions 30 to 507 of the family's 1533-position model. The record is from RNAcentral.